Long non-coding RNA from Felis catus (domestic cat), 499 nucleotides. RefSeq lists it as uncharacterized. NCBI's taxonomy places the organism in Eukaryota, Metazoa, Chordata, Mammalia, Carnivora, Felidae. The record is from RefSeq and is a predicted model, not a curated record. The transcript has 2 exons.
UCCGCCUUCGCUCUGCCUGCCUGUGUCAGCCGAGGAGCUCAUCAGUAUGGACAGCGCCAAGAGGCUCCGCGAGGCCGGCGGCAUCCGGCCUCCAGCUUUCCCCGCCGAGGCCCUCCCCCGACUCCCUGGGAGCUCCGCGGCGGCUGACCACCGUUAUCAUGCCCGACGCCGCUGUUUGCGCUUGCACGCCGAAGGGCCGGCUGCCACCCUAGACCAGGAUGACAGAGGACUAGCAAUGCAGUGAGAAUUUCAAGACCAAGAUCUGAGUAAAGAGGAAAACCCAAUGCAGCAAGUCCAGCAUUUGUAUCCACUUUUCCUGAAGAAUAAUUAGCAUAUUCCUGAAGAAGUGAGUGAGGAACUGAAAAGCUAAGCAAAAUUUUCAACAAACUCGAGGACCAAGAUGGGCAGAAUUUGUGAUUUAGAGCCACCAAAAAACAGAGUCUGAUAAAAUACCCUGUUUGAAUUGGAACCCCAAAGGACCACGAGUGAGGAGUAAGGA